Molecule: ribosomal RNA, 253 nt
Filed under: uncultured bacterium
Lineage: Bacteria
Description: partial 16S ribosomal RNA
Rfam family: Bacterial small subunit ribosomal RNA
Source: RNAcentral
UACAGAGGUCUCAAGCGUUGUUCGGAUUUAUUGGGCGUAAAGGGCGCGUAGGCGGCGGGGUAAGUCGGGUGUGAAAUCUCAGGGCUCAACCCUGAAACUGCACUUGAUACUGCUCUGCUUGAGGACUGGAGAGGAGACUGGAAUUCACGGUGUAGCAGUGAAAUGCGUAGAUAUCGUAAGGAAGACCAGUGGCGAAGGCGGGUCUCUGGACAGUUCCUGACGCUGAGGCACGAAGGCCAGGGGAGCAAACGGG